This 2078-nucleotide ribosomal RNA is filed under the name Salmonella enterica subsp. enterica serovar Weltevreden. Its description in RNAcentral is "bacterial LSU rRNA". It matches the Rfam family "Bacterial large subunit ribosomal RNA", at positions 593 to 2236 of the family's 2925-position model. The record is from RNAcentral. Lineage: Bacteria; Pseudomonadati; Pseudomonadota; Gammaproteobacteria; Enterobacterales; Enterobacteriaceae.
GUGACUGCGUACCUUUUGUAUAAUGGGUCAGCGACUUAUAUUCUGUAGCAAGGUUAACCGAAUAGGGGAGCCGGAGGGAAACCGAGUCUUAAUUGGGCGUUAAGUUGCAGGGUAUAGACCCGAAACCCGGUGAUCUAGCCAUGGGCAGGUUGAAGGUUGGGUAACACUAACUGGAGGACCGAACCGACUAAUGUUGAAAAAUUAGCGGAUGACCUGUGGCUGGGGGUGAAAGGCCAAUCAAACCGGGAGAUAGCUGGUUCUCCCCGAAAGCUAUUUAGGUAGCGCCUCGUGAAUUCAUCUCCGGGGGUAGAGCACUGUUUCGGCUAGGGGGCCAUCCCGGCUUACCAACCCGAUGCAAACUGCGAAUACCGGAGAAUGUUAUCACGGGAGACACACGGCGGGUGCUAACGUCCGUCGUGAAGAGGGAAACAACCCAGACCGCCAGCUAAGGUCCCAAAGUCAUGGUUAAGUGGGAAACGAUGUGGGAAGGCCCAGACAGCCAGGAUGUUGGCUUAGAAGCAGCCAUCAUUUAAAGAAAGCGUAAUAGCUCACUGGUCGAGUCGGCCUGCGCGGAAGAUGUAACGGGGCUAAACCAUGCACCGAAGCUGCGGCAGCGACGCUUAUGCGUUGUUGGGUAGGGGAGCGUUCUGUAAGCCUGUGAAGGUGGCCUGUGAGGGUUGCUGGAGGUAUCAGAAGUGCGAAUGCUGACAUAAGUAACGANACGUAUCACCCAAGACAACUUUACGGAGUUGACGAUUGACGGAGCGAAGCGACGUCAAAGCGUUCAUUAAAGUCGAGUUGGCUUAGGGAUACGUUCGUUGGGUAGGGGAGCGUUCUGUAAGCCUGCGAAGGUGGCCUGUGAGGGUUGCUGGAGGUAUCAGAAGUGCGAAUGCUGACAUNCGCUUAUGCGUUGUUGGGUAGGGGAGCGUUCUGUAAGCCUGUGAAGGUGGCCUGUGAGGGUUGCUGGAGGUAUCAGAAGUGCGAAUGCUGACAUAAGUAACGAUAAAGCGGGUGAAAAGCCCGCUCGCCGGAAGACCAAGGGUUCCUGUCCAACGUUAAUCGGGGCAGGGUGAGUCGACCCCUAAGGCGAGGCCGAAAGGCGUAGUCGAUGGGAAACGGGUUAAUAUUCCCGUACUUGGUGUUACUGCGAAGGGGGGACGGAGAAGGCUAUGUUGGCCGGGCGACGGUUGUCCCGGUUUAAGCGUGUAGGUGUGUGUUCCAGGUAAAUCCGGUUCACUUUAACACUGAGGCGUGACGACGAGGCACUACGGUGCUGAAGCAACAAAUGCCCUGCUUCCAGGAAAAGCCUCUAAGCAUCAGGUAACAUCAAAUCGUACCCCAAACCGACACAGGUGGUCAGGUAGAGAAUACCAAGGCGCUUGAGAGAACUCGGGUGAAGGAACUAGGCAAAAUGGUGCCGUAACUUCGGGAGAAGGCACGCUGACAUGUAGGUGAAGCGGUUUACCCGUGGAGCUGAAAUCAGUCGAAGAUACCAGCUGGCUGCAACUGUUUAUUAAAAACACAGCACUGUGCAAACACGAAAGUGGACGUAUACGGUGUGACGCCUGCCCGGUGCCGGAAGGUUAAUUGAUGGGGUCAGCGCAAGCGAAGCUCCUGAUCGAAGCCCCGGUAAACGGCGGCCGUAACUAUAACGGUCCUAAGGUAGCGAAAUUCCUUGUCGGGUAAGUUCCGACNGACGCCUGCCCGGUGCCGGAAGGUUAAUUGAUGGGGUCAGCGCAAGCGAAGCUCCUGAUCGAAGCCCCGGUAAACGGCGGCCGUAACUAUAACGGUCCUAAGGUAGCGAAAUUCCUUGUCGGGUAAGUUCCGACCUGCACGAAUGGCGUAAUGAUGGCCAGGCUGUCUCCACCCGAGACUCAGUGAAAUUGAACUCGCUGUGAAGAUGCAGUGUACCCGCGGCAAGACGGAAAGACCCCGUGAACCUUUACUAUAGCUUGACACUGAACAUUGAGCCUUGAUGUGUAGGAUAGGUGGGAGGCUUUGAAGCGUGGACGCCAGUCUGCGUGGAGCCGACCUUGAAAUACCACCCUUUAAUGUUUGAUGUUCUAACGUGGACCCGU